This is a long non-coding RNA of Peromyscus leucopus (white-footed mouse), 1477 nucleotides long. RefSeq lists it as uncharacterized. Lineage: Eukaryota; Metazoa; Chordata; Mammalia; Rodentia; Cricetidae. The transcript has 2 exons. The record is from RefSeq and is a predicted model, not a curated record.
CCGGUCAUGUGACUCAAGUUUCAAGGGUCUGAUGCUUUCUUCUGACUUCUGUGGGUACCAGACAGGCACACGGUGCAUGGACAUACAUCGAAGGAAACUUUCAUAUGCCUAAAAUAAAUACGUCUGGGAAGAGAAUUUAAUUUUUAAAAAAGGAACAAAAUAAGUUUCUGCAACAGUGUCUCCCUUCCAGUCUUCCCUCUUCCUGCUCUGAGCAGAGCCAUGCUGUGGGGCUGUGGGAGCAGGAUGAGCAGACACCAGUUCAGACCUACACCGUCGUCUGGCAGUCUAAGAAUUCAUGGCCGAGGAGAAAGCAUGGUGAACCUGGCUUUAUCAUUGUCCAACAAUCUAAUAAGCAGCUCGCAUUGUCUAUAACAGCUUCAUUCAGAUAACAAUGUCCUGGCCACCUGAGAAAUCUCUAGAAUGUUAUUUAGCUGUGGGUUACCAUGGUGAUUAGCUUGUGAAAGAGUUCUCAGAGAUGCAUUCUCUCAAUGUACUCAUAAUUCUGAUGAGGAUGCUGCUUGUCCUGCCUAUGAUCCUAACGUGGCCCAAAGAUCUACUGGUGGUUCGUCCCAUUGGAAACCCCCUUGACACUCCACGGCCAACAAGUGCUUCAAGGGCACGUCAUAUGAGUGGGUUAGUACCGUUAGUACCGCAGAGCAGCUGAUCCUUUGUGAUGAGAGUGUGAUGCCAGCUAAAUCAGGUACCACUGGGGCCCAUCUACACCUUGUGACAUCAGAAUGUGGCUCUAUCCUGUCCUGUCUGGUUUAAGAUGCUUUAGGAAUAACAUUAUUUGGUAAACGAAUCCUAAAUCAAACAUUUUUGGAAGAUAAUCUUGGAUUAACUCAGAGUGAUGCCAAUCUGUGUUUUUCCACAUUGAUUCAUUUAGAGUAGCUUUUUUUUUUCUUUUUAAUUCCCAUAUUACUGAAUUGACAGACCUAUUUCCUCCUGGGUCCUAUCACAAACAAGUGAGUUGUCUUUGUGAUAAACACCAAUGAAAAGAGCAGACAUUUUUAAUUUCUAUUGUCAUCGAAAGGUGAUCCAAACUACAUUUUGAUGGCUGGGCUGAGCAGGAAUUUUUAAUUUCUAUUCUCAUCGAAAGGUGAUCCAAACUACAUUUUGAUGGCUGGGCUGAGCAUGACAGCUGAGUCGGAUUUCAUUCACUCAGAUGACUGAUUUUUCUCCUGGAAGUGGGACAGAACAGACCAAUCAGCAAGCACUUCAACUUCCUCAGGAAACAAGAGCAGGCAUCCUAUGACCUUGAAUAGCCACCUAAGACUCUGACUCAGCCCGGGGAAUCUGAGUGAUGUCAUGAUAAGUAGCCAGGGGACAGCCCUAAACACCUGGGUGCUCCACUCCAAGGAGUCCUGGCUUGCUCAGUUGUCAAUUGGGGCUUUGGAUAUAAAGUCGACUCUGUCUGCAAAUAUGUAAGGAACGCGUGGAAAGGAAUCUUUGGAAAGAGAAGGAGGCAGAGACUGAA